RNAcentral lists this ribosomal RNA (474 nucleotides) under uncultured bacterium. RNAcentral's name for it is "partial 16S ribosomal RNA". It matches the Rfam family "Bacterial small subunit ribosomal RNA", at positions 28 to 507 of the family's 1533-position model. The record is from RNAcentral.
GACGAACGCUGGCGGCGUGCUUAACACAUGCAAGUCGAACGGUAAGGCCCUUCGGGGUACACGAGUGGCGAACGGGUGAGUAACACGUGGGUAAUCUGCCCUGCACAUCGGGAUAAGCCUGGGAAACUGGGUCUAAUACCGAAUAGGACCACAGGGCACAUGUCCUGUGGUGGAAAGCUUUUGCGGUGUGGGAUGGGCCCGCGGCCUAUCAGCUUGUUGGUGGGGUGAUGGCCUACCAAGGCGACGACGGGUAGCCGGCCUGAGAGGGUGUCCGGCCACACUGGGACUGAGAUACGGCCCAGACUCCUACGGGAGGCAGCAGUGGGGAAUAUUGCACAAUGGGCGAAAGCCUGAUGCAGCGACGCCGCGUGGGGGAUGACGGCCUUCGGGUUGUAAACCUCUUUCACCAUCGACGAAGGUCCGGGUUUUCUCGGGCUGACGGUAGGUGGAGAAGAAGCACCGGCCAACUACGUG